AUGGCGAGUUCGUCGGAGAAGGCGCCUUCCCCUGCAGCGGCGGAUCUGCCGGAGCGAGGUAAGAUUACGGUGGCCAGCGGCAAACCAAAGAAGAAGACGAGGAGGAUGACGCAGGAGGAGAUCGACAGCUGCAUCCGGUACAAGGGCGUGCGCAUCCCCGUCGACUCCGUCCGCAAGGCGAGCAAGCUGAGGCUGGCCCUCACCAACCUCGACGACCUCGGCAGCCUCCCGGUGUCCCCGGACGAGCUGGAUGACUACGUCACCAACAUGAUCCGGGAGGUGAACGCGAUCGAGGAUGACUUCCAGAAAGAGAGAGACGAGAUCGCGAAGGAGUACUACGCAAAGGGCUACGUCGAGCGCGAGGUCAGCGACGACGACGAAGCAGGAGGCAGCAACCCCCGUGUGGAGAUGGGCUCGCCCUCGCCCAUUUCCGGAAGCACCGUAACCGUAAGCAAGCUCAACUGA
RNAcentral lists this ribosomal RNA (465 nucleotides) under Triticum aestivum (bread wheat). RNAcentral's name for it is "partial small subunit ribosomal RNA". Lineage: Eukaryota; Viridiplantae; Streptophyta; Magnoliopsida; Poales; Poaceae. The record is from RNAcentral.